GGCGGGCAGGCGGGUGGGGGCACACCCCUCGUACCUGUCACUGGGAUGCAGACUCUCGACAUCCGAGUCCAAGCGCAGGCCCCUCGGGCGCAGGCAGCUCACACCAGGAAGAGACUGUAUUGCAGGGUGAAGAGUGGGCUCCCGUGGGCCCAGAGCUGCACGCCGGUCCACAGACACACUCACGCCCGCCACCUGCUCCCCGCAGGAUGUGUCUGUGUGUGGGAAUUGGUAUCUUGCACCCGUGGGAGUCGGGACAUAUAAUGGAAAGGCCCUCGGGAAGUUCCGCGUCCUCUGUGGGGGCUGCCGGAAGACACGGCCCCAGGAGUCAGGCCCCUGUGGUCAGGUCUAGCAUGGGGCUUGUUUUCCACUCCUGCUGUAAGCAGCCUUCGACACCUGUCCUGCCACGGCCUCCCAGCCGGUGCGGGAGCCCCUCACUGCCCUGACCGACUCCGCAGUCCCCGGGGAGGAGCAUGGAUGGUGUGUCGGCAGCUCCGUCCUUCCAGCUGUCCCGUUGCAGUGCCCGUGAUCCGCGUCUGCCUUAGCAGGGGCCUGCGUGAGUGGGCACGGUGUGGGAGGUCGCCUGCGUGGGGUGGUGUCUGUGUGUGUGCACGCACGCCUGCCAUCAAAGCAGCAGGGCUGAGGGGGUGCAGCUUGCUGGUGUUCACUGGGGGAGGGCCUGUGGGCACACAUGGCAGAGAGAGUGGCUCACACGUCGUGAGGUCUCCCCUGUGCUCUGGUGACCCGAGGAGGUCGUGCAGCACAGCGCAGAAGCCCCUGCCCACGGGAUCCGGCCCCCCAGACACCGACCCCACAGGCCGUCCCGGAUCUCAGCGGACACAGGCAGGAGCGCCCCAUCAUUUGACGGUGAGCAGGACUCAGGCUGUGUGUCCUGGAGCUACUUCUCACCAACUGUGGUCAGUGCAGGGGGAACGAGGAGGUCUUUUGGGGGCCUGGCGAGGGGAAGGGCUGCUGCAGUCUAGGGAGAGGGGGUGCAGCCUGGGGGAUGUUGGUGGACAUGGAUGUGGAGGUGGAAGGAGGAGGACGUUGCGUGGAGUGGUGGGAGGAGGCGGGAGCCGUGUGCGAGAGCAGGUGGAAAGCCUUGAGGGGCAGGACCAGGAUGCAGCUGGCUUGUAGAAGAGCUCAGGAGUGAGCCUGGCACUCCAGAGGGCGCGGCGGGUGGGGAGGCAGCAGGCACCAGUCCAGGAGAGCUUCGUGGACGUGGCUCCUGCGCGCACACCCCCAGGAGCACAGCCACGGGCUGCAGGUGUGGCUGGCCUCAGCACUCAGUCCUCACCCGGAGCCUUUGCCUGCUCCUCCUUCCAAGAGCACUGAGGCACCAGUGGGCUUGGCACUCCACCUUGGGCUUCCUUUUCCUGGAGAGCCGCCUUGAGGGUCCCUCCUGUGACUGGGGUCUCUGCAGCGAGAGCCGCGGGGGUUGCGGAGCCCCUGCCUGGGGGAGCUGGCGGAAUGUGAGCCGCCGGCCGGGGGCCGCCACAUAAGACCUGCAAGGUGGUGCCUGGGGCCCUGGCUCCUUCUCGGCUGCCCCUGCCCACCCAGUAACAG
Molecule: long non-coding RNA, 1563 nt
Filed under: Homo sapiens (human)
Lineage: Eukaryota; Metazoa; Chordata; Mammalia; Primates; Hominidae
Description: non-protein coding lnc-ELFN1-4:3
Source: RNAcentral